RNAcentral lists this ribosomal RNA (64 nucleotides) under Chrysoporthe austroafricana. RNAcentral describes it as "partial 18S ribosomal RNA". The record is from RNAcentral. Lineage: Eukaryota; Fungi; Ascomycota; Sordariomycetes; Diaporthales; Cryphonectriaceae.
GCGGAGGGAUCAUUGCUGGAACUGCGCCCCCCCCACGGGCGCAACCCCAGAUACCCUUUGUGAA